RNAcentral lists this ribosomal RNA (292 nucleotides) under uncultured bacterium. RNAcentral's name for it is "partial 16S ribosomal RNA". It matches the Rfam family "Bacterial small subunit ribosomal RNA", at positions 505 to 796 of the family's 1533-position model. The record is from RNAcentral.
GUGUCAGCCGCCGCGGUAAUACGAAGGGGGCUAGCGUUGUUCGGAAUUACUGGGCGUAAAGCGCACGUAGGCGGCUCAUUAAGUCAGGGGUGAAAUCCCGGGGCUCAACCUCGGAAUUGCCUCUGAUACUGGUGAGCUUGAGUCCGAGAGAGGUGAGUGGAACUCCGAGUGUAGAGGUGAAAUUCGUAGAUAUUCGGAAGAACACCAGUGGCGAAGGCGGCUCACUGGCUCGGUACUGACGCUGAGGUGCGAAAGCGUGGGGAGCAAACAGGAUUAGAUACCCUUGUAGUCC